This 585-nucleotide ribosomal RNA is filed under the name uncultured bacterium. RNAcentral describes it as "bacterial SSU rRNA". It matches the Rfam family "Bacterial small subunit ribosomal RNA", at positions 338 to 916 of the family's 1533-position model. The record is from RNAcentral.
CCUACGGGAGGCAGCAGUGGGGAAUUUUGGACAAUGGGGGCAACCCUGAUCCAGCAAUGCCGCGUGAGUGAAGAAGGCCUUCGGGUUGUAAAGCUCUUUUGUCAGGGAAGAAAAGGGAGUGGCUAAUAUCCAUUCCUGCUGACGGUACCUGAAGAAUAAGCACCGGCUAACUACGUGCCAGCAGCCGCGGUAAUACGUAGGGUGCAAGCGUUAAUCGGAAUUACUGGGCGUAAAGCGUGCGCAGGCGGUUUCGUAAGUCUGUCGUGAAUUCCCCGGGCUUAACCUGGGAAUGGCGAUGGAGACUGCGAGGCUAGAGUUUGGCAGAGGGGGGUAGAAUUCCACGUGUAGCAGUGAAAUGCGUAGAGAUGUGGAGGAACACCGAUGGCGAAGGCAGCCCCCUGGGUCAAAACUGACGCUCAUGCACGAAAGCGUGGGGAGCAAACAGGAUUAGAUACCCUGGUAGUCCACGCCCUAAACGAUGUCUACUAGUUGUCGGGUCUUAAUUGACUUGGUAACGCAGCUAACGCGUGAAGUAGACCGCCUGGGGAGUACGGUCGCAAGAUUAAAACUCAAAGGAAUUGACGG